GCAAGGAGAGCAGCCCCUCAAAGCUGCUGUCGGGCACCACGGAGAUGAGGAAGAAGCAUUUCCUGCCCUGGCUGGCCUGACCUGUGUGGACAAAUCUGGAGAUUUGUACCUGGUUAAGAACUGCAGUCAAAGCUUCUUGAGUUCUCCUUCAGAAAAAUAUCCUUUAAAUGCAGAGUACAAGCACUGGUGCAACAUCACCUUAGCCUGGAAUGAUAACUCAGGUGUGCUCCAGAGAGUGGAGACCAGAGCUCAGGCAGACUCCUCCAUGGGGCAAAAGGGAGACUUUCUGCUGCUUACAAUGAGCUGGACCUGAGAAGUCAGAAUCAGCAGCCUGCUUGGACCACAGCACAGUGAGAUGCACCUAUCUGGAUACAGGGACUACAGGGGUAGUGAGAGAGGGAGCUGCCUGGAAGAACAUCCAAAGUCCACUCGUCUGAGGCAUCUUUUUCCCUGAGCAGAUGUUCACAUCUGUGCAGAGCCAUGGUGAGAGGAGCAGGUCAGCACCAAAUUUUCUGCAGGAAGAGCACUGGAUCCCAGCUGGCCACUGACCCAACUUUGGAGACACCUGGGAAAUACACCCUGGAUGAGGUGGCCUCCAAGUGAAUUAGGAGCAGGGGCUGUGGGCUGAGGAGCUGGACCAUGUGGACCUCCCAGCACUGGCCCAGGUCGCCACCCAUCAGUGGUGAAUGUCCCAGGACUGGUGGCCAGAGCUGCCGUGGUGGCUGUGCUGGCAGCUGAACCUCCAGAAACUGAGGCUGGCUCUCUGCAGCCCUGGGCCCUGGUGGCACUGGCUGUCACACACUUGAAAGGCAUAGGAGAGACAGGCUGAGGGGGAAGGGGUGUUCCUGGGGCAGUGACCUUCCCUGUCACACCUGCCUUGAAAGAGAAGUCACCUGGAGAACAACCUCAUCUCAAAAUCCCUGGAGUGAGGGGUCUUGACUCUGGCACUGGUGACGAUGCCAACACAAUUUAAUAAUAACCACAACCAUGUGCCAAUGAUGUUUCAACAACAAAUGUUUCAAAUCUCUUCUGGCAGAAAGAACAUUCAUAUCCUGCACAGCAAACACCCCCACUACAAAUUCAUAUUUAAAUUAAUAUUUACAGAAACUCCUACUGGGUACUGGGAGGGCCACACAUGGAGAACUGUGCCCAGUUUUGGGGUGCCCAUUGUAAGAAGGAUGAAGUGGAAUGAGACAGGUCCAGUGGAGGGCUGGUGGCUGACUCAGGGUCCCAGGGCAUUUUCCCCAUGAGCAGAGGUGAAAGGAGCAGGGUUGGUUUCACUCAGCAGAGAAGGGGCUGAGAGGAGAACUGCCAGGGACCUGCAACCAAGGAUGAUGGAGCCAAGCCCUUCAGGGUGGUUCCAGAUGAUCAGACAAAGAGUAAUGACCACAAAUUGCCUUCCAGGAGUUUUAGGUUGGAUUUGAGAACAGCCCCAGGCUAUCAGUGAGAGGGGAAUAUCUGUGCUUGGAUAGACAAAGCUGCAACUGCCCCCCUGAGUAUUUGGGAUAGUCCUGCUCCAAGCAGGGGACUCCCAGAAACUGCUCCCAGCUAAACCCAGCUUAUCCCUAUGAUAAAAGGGCUGUGUAAGACUAGGAUUGAAGUUAAGGAUUAAGGGAUAAGGUCAGAUUUUCAGCCCAAAUCAGAAUGCUCUUACAAGCUUCAGCUGUGCUCUCUGCACCAAACACACCUUCCCUAAAUUCACUGGCACUCCCAGGGUCUGGUCUCAACUGUGCUCAUACUCAGCAAAACAGUAAAAUUCCAAAGUCGUGUGAUUUUUAGGGAACACAGGAGCACAAACCUGCUGUGGGUAUAGUUCCUUUAGAGGAAAAGCACAGCCACAGCCUCAGCUUCUUCCCAGGGCUGAAUCACUAAAAGUCUUUACAGCAGUUCUACCCUGACACAAUUAUCCUCCAUUUGGGUCAAACAGCCCAGCUUGCACUUUGACAGCCCAGAGUGUCCUCUGUGCUUGCUGGCAGGUCCCUUCCCCACUGUGGUCCUCUGCAGAGGACAGACACUCUUUGGGUGGAUAUUUUCCAAUGUUCCUUGAAAUAUGCAUUGGCUCUGGUGGCCUUUUCAUCACAAUGCACACAUGGGGAGCCGUAAUUUCAACAUCCUCUACCAAGACAGUGUUUCUUCCUUGAAAACUGCCCUCCCCUCCCUUCCACUCUAAGUGACAGUAAUCUUUGCAUAAAUUGGAAAAGAAAAGGAAGAAGGAACAGAACAUCCUUGUCAAAGGAACUAAUGACUCAAAUGCUGGGAAGCCUGGGGUCCCCAAGGGACUGUGCAGCUCUCAGCAUUGAUUUUUAAUG
Molecule: non-coding RNA, 2309 nt
Organism: Cyanistes caeruleus (blue tit)
Lineage: Eukaryota; Metazoa; Chordata; Aves; Passeriformes; Paridae
Source: RefSeq, a predicted model, not a curated record